RNAcentral lists this transfer RNA (72 nucleotides) under Marmota marmota marmota (Alpine marmot). It matches the Rfam family "tRNA". Rfam says of the family: Transfer RNA (tRNA) molecules are approximately 80 nucleotides in length. Their secondary structure includes four short double-helical elements and three loops (D, anti-codon, and T loops). Lineage: Eukaryota; Metazoa; Chordata; Mammalia; Rodentia; Sciuridae. The record is from Rfam by way of RNAcentral. RNAcentral also lists the same sequence under 1 other name.
AGUGGUGUAACUCAGUGGUAAGAGUGCUUACUUAGCAUUUAUGAAGCCUAGGGUUCAAUCCCAGCACUGCAA